RNAcentral lists this ribosomal RNA (253 nucleotides) under uncultured bacterium. RNAcentral describes it as "partial 16S ribosomal RNA". It matches the Rfam family "Bacterial small subunit ribosomal RNA", at positions 524 to 776 of the family's 1533-position model. The record is from RNAcentral.
UACGGAGGAUCCAAGCGUUAUCCGGAUUUAUUGGGUUUAAAGGGUGCGUAGGUGGUUCUUUAAGUCAGGGGUGAAAGACGGUAGCUUAACUAUCGCAGUGCCUUUGAUACUGACGGGCUUGAAUACACUAGAGGUAGGCGGAAUGUGACAAGUAGCGGUGAAAUGCAUAGAUAUGUCACAGAACACCAAUUGCGAAGGCAGCUUACUAUGGUGUCAUUGACACUGAGGCACGAAAGCUAGGGGAGCAAAUGGG